Molecule: ribosomal RNA, 660 nt
Filed under: Triticum aestivum (bread wheat)
Lineage: Eukaryota; Viridiplantae; Streptophyta; Magnoliopsida; Poales; Poaceae
Description: partial small subunit ribosomal RNA
Source: RNAcentral
AUGAAGGGGCUAGCGGAUGAGCUUGCUGCUGUAGGAAAGCCCCUCGAUGAGGAUGAUAUCGUCUCGCACAUGCUCGAGGGUCUCAUGCACGAGCCCGACUACAAUGGGUUCGUCACCUCCAUCUCCAUGCGCGCUGCCACCGAUCGGCCGAUCGGUCUCAGCAAACUCUUCUCGCUGCUGCUCUCUGCGCAGGCCCGGAUCGCCGCCCAGCACGCCGCCUACACCGCUCACCACUCCGCCACCCUCGCUGCGAAAGGUGGUCGUGGCGGCUACGGCGGCGGACGCGGUGGUCAGGGUGGUGGACGCGGUGGCUAUGGCGGCGGCAACUACUCCGACAACUCGGGCAAUGGUGGUGGUGGUGGUGCGCCGCGCCAACAGAUUAGUGACCGCGGUGACCGCGAGCGCUGCCAAAUCUACAAGGAGGAAGGCCAUGGUGUUGGCGCUGCAGGAAACAGUUCGAUAAAGGCUACAACAACAACGUGCGCAACCCCACAGGCGGCGGCGGUGGCGGCGGACGCGACAGCGGUGGGCGCGGUGGCGGCGGCGGUAGUGGUGGCAACCCUCGCUCCGCAAACUCUGCUCACUCCUACGAUGUGGAUACCAACUGGUAUCUCGACACUGGUGCCACUGAUCACGUUACCAGCGAGUUGGAGAAGCUAG